Long non-coding RNA from Melopsittacus undulatus (budgerigar), 758 nucleotides. RefSeq lists it as uncharacterized. The transcript has 4 exons. The record is from RefSeq and is a predicted model, not a curated record. NCBI's taxonomy places the organism in Eukaryota, Metazoa, Chordata, Aves, Psittaciformes, Psittaculidae.
CAGGAACUGAAAUGCCUUGGUUGGACGUUUGAGGUUGCAUCACUGAAAUAAGUUUUGCCCGUGGCUGUUGUGGAAAAUUCCAUGUGGAUGUGCAAGCUUAUCGUCUGAUCUUCCAAGAUGCUGGAAUGUCCUCUAUUAUGUUCCCAGCAAUCUGGUGGCCAUCAACACCUUGCCGAUAAACUGGAAAUCUUCACCUUCUUCCAUCCUCACCUCUCAAAUGACCCAUGAAAGAGACUUGGAGAUCAAAGAAAUCCUCUUCCAUCCUUAUCCUUCGGACAGAGAGACUGAUGGGAUUUAGCACCCAUGUGGGAGUAUGAGCAUUGAUUUGAAGAACAAAGAAGCAUCGACCUUUUGUCUGCUGCUGUCAUCCCCUGCUUCACCAUUAAGGCUGAAACUUGACCUAAAAUCAGUGCAUUCCUACAUAUCAGCAACUGGUACCCAAAAGAGGCAAACUGGAAUGACAUUGUGAAGCAAUUGGUUACAGCAGAGUCAUCUGCUUGAAAGGAGUGAGAAUAGCUCUUGCUAGGCAAUGUGCAGAGCAUGGCAACUCUCACUGCUGCUAAUGGGAGAAGAGGCUCCCGAGCUCCUUUCAGGAAUGUACUGUUUUAAUUUCUAAUGGAGUUAUUUGUUCACUUGUUAAAGAACUCAUCUCUUAGGGCAGAGGCUCUCAGAGACAAUAACAGUGGCCACAUGCAGCCACCAGGGAAUUCAUUGCAGCCACAAGACAAAAACUUGCUCUGAUUGUUCAGUUCUGUUUU